Molecule: long non-coding RNA, 4035 nt
Organism: Juglans regia (Persian walnut)
Lineage: Eukaryota; Viridiplantae; Streptophyta; Magnoliopsida; Fagales; Juglandaceae
Exons: 2
Source: RefSeq, a predicted model, not a curated record
GUCAUUUCGUCUCAUCUCAAAAAUGGCCACUGACUCUUUACCUCCCCCUUCUCCCAUGCUCCUUCUCAUCAACAUGAGGAUUACUCUAAUCAUUUCUAUCUUCAACACGGUGACCAUCCCAGUGCCAUUCUCGUCUCUCAGCCACUAAACGUCGAUAACUAUCUUACUUGGAACCGAUCUAUGUCCGUGGCUCUUAUUUCCAAGAAUAAGUUUUAUUUUGUGAAUGGUGCUUUGCCACCGCCUCCUACCUCUGAUCCGAUGCAUAGUGCAUGGAUCCGGUGUAAUAUAGUGGUUCUGUCAUGGCUUCUCAACGCUAUGUCGAAGGAGAUAGUGUCAUCUGUCAUCUAUAUCAAUUCUGCCGAGACUAAAGGAAAGGUUUGCUAAAAGCAAUUGCCCUCACAUUUUUCAGAUCCGAAAGAACAUUGAUUCUUUAACUCAAUAAGCUUCAUCUGUAAGUUCUUAUUUUACUCGUUUAAAAAGUUGUUGGAAAGAAAUGGUUCAUUUUUGCCCACUGCCUCCAUGUUCUUGUGGAGCUAUAAAGAAAAUCGUUGAUUUUCAGCAAGAAGAUUAUGUUCUACAGUUCUUGAUGCGCCUCAAUGAGUCUUAUGCUUAUCUGCGCAGUCAGAUUUUACUUUUUGAUCCAUUUCUCCCAAUUAAUAAGGUUUUCUCUUUUGUUUUACAAGAAGAGAAACAGAGAGAAAUUGUAUCUGAUUUUCUGACUUCUAUUGAAUCUGUUGUUAUGUUUUCGAAUAGAGAUUCUACUCGAGAUUUUAAUCGUAGAUCUAUUGGAUCACCUGGAUCUAAUGGAUCCAAACAUGGCAAGGCUUUUGUUCCUCGGAAGGAUCGACAAUACUGUACACAUUGUGGUUUAUCAGGGCACACCAUUGAUAAGUGUUACAUGAUUCAUGGGUAUCCUCCUGGAUACAAACUGAAAUCUUGAAACCCUAAUGUCAAUCAAGUGUCUGCUAGCCAAUCUAAUAUUUAUGAUUCAGUUUUAACCCAAUCAUUUCAUUUUUCUCAAGAACAAUGUAAACAGCUCAUUAUAUUUCUUCAAACUCAAUCUAAUGUUUCCUCUGCAAAUCAAGUAGGAACAGUUUCAGUACCCUCUAAUUUUCUGUAUCCUCCACAUUUGAUCCUUGUUUUUCAAGUACUUCCAUUGUUCUUGCUAAUAAUACUCAUAAUUCCAGUCCAUCUCAAUCUUGGAUUCUUGAUUCGGGUGCAACAGAUCAUAUGAUUGGUCACUUAUCCAUUUUUUCUUCCAUAAAUUCCAUUGUCAAUAUUUGUAUCAAAUUACCUAAUGGGUCAUAUACUCAAAUCACACAUAAGGACACGGUUAGGCUUUCUGAUUCCUUUGUUCUAACUGAUGUUUUGUAUGUUCCAGAAUUUACUUUCAAUCUUAUUUCAGUAAGCAAAUUAGUUUCAUAGUUAUCAUGUUUUCUUUUAUUCUUACAUGAUUUCUGUUAUAUUCAGGACCUCUCCAAUUGGAGGACAAUUGGAGUAGCUAAGCAAUCACAAGGACUGUAUUAUUUAAUGCAAGUACCAGGCACUACUUCUAUUUCUUGUAAUUCUGUUGAUAAUGAUACUUCACCUCACUGUAAUUCUGUUAGAAAUAACUCUUACAUAUGACAUUGUUGACUUGGACAUAUUUCUAAUUCUCGAUUACAUGACAUUGCUUCUAACCUUUCCAACCUUACAUCUCAACAUAUUAAUUAUUGUGAUAUAUGUCCUUUAGCUAAACCGAAACGAUUGUCUUUUCCUUUGAGUACAUCUCAUACAACAUCUGUAUUUGAAAUCAUUCAUUAUGAUGUAUGGAGACCUUUUUCUAUACCCUCUUAUAAUGGCUUCAAAUAUUUUUUAAUCAUUGUAGAUGAUUUUAGUAGGCGUACUUGGAUAUACUUACUUAAGUCAAAAUCUGAAACUCGAUCUUAUAUACAAGCAUUUUUUUCUUUUGUUGAGAUUCAGUUUAAUUCAAAAAUCAAAACUGUUCGUAUUGAUAAUGUUUUGGAGUUUGAUAUGAAAUCUUUUUUGCUGAUAAAGGGGUUAUACAUCAACUUAGUUGUGUAUAUACUUCUCAACAGAAUGCUAUUGUUAAAAGAAAACAUCAGCAUAUAUUAAAUGUUGCUCGGCCAUCAGAUUUCAAUCUCAUAUAUCUUUAAAUUUUUGGAGUGAUUGUGUUUUAACUGUUGUUUAUCUUAUAAACAGAAUUCCAACUCUUAUUAUUUCUAAUAAAUCACCAUAUAAGGUGUUAUUUUCUAUUAAACCCCAAUACAAUAAUCUUAAAAUUUUUGGUUGCCUUUGCUAUGCAUCCAUUCUUGGUGGUUCUUCAACCAAAUUUUCUCAUUGAGCUCAAGCUUGUAUAUUCCUUGGAUAUCCAACUAGUAUAAAAGGGUAUAAACUCUAUAACAUCCAUACUCAUAAGUUUUUAAUUUCAAGAGAUGUUGUCUUUUAUGAGACUAUUUUUCCUUUCAAAUCAGAUUCUAUAACUUCAUUAGAUUCUGGUUUCAUUCAUGAUCCUAUUUUACCAGGCCCUUUAUCAAACAUUGUUCUAAAUCCUUCUCAAUCUCCAUCUCAUUCUCAAUUAGAUACUCUUACAUCAUCCAAUAUUCUAUCCACAUCUUCCAAUCCAGAAAAUGAUUAUGUUUCCAUUCCUACCUGAAAAUCCACAAGAAAUAGAAGACCACCUAAUUACUUGCAACAUUACCAUUGUUCCUUGAUCAAUACUAAUGAAGUUACUCAUUUUCCUCUGGUUGAUAGUUCUUCAGCAGUAGGUAUUGUCUACCCUAUUUCUUCAUUCUUAUCAUAUUCCAAAUUUUUCAAUUCCUAUAAACAUUUUUGUCUUCUGUUGACUCUCUAUAUGAACCUAAAUUCUUUCAUCAAGCCAUAAAACAUCCUCAUUGGAGGGAUGCAAUGGCCGCUGAAAUCAAUGCUCUUGAAGCUAAUAAUACUUGGGUUUUUACUAACUUACCUACUGGUAAGCAAUCAAUUGGUUGUAAAUGGGUAUAUAAGUGUAAGUUGAAAUUUGAUGGCACUUUAGAGAGAUAUAAGGCUCAUUUAGUAGCCAAGAGUUAUACUCAACGUGAGAGCAUUGAUUAUUUUGAUACUUUUUCCUCUGUUGCAAAGCUUACUAUUGUCCGUUGUUUUCUUGCCUUGAUUGCUAUUCGCAACUAGGAAUUACAUCAACUGGAUGUAAACAAUGCAUUUCUUCGUAGGGAAUUAGAUGAAGAAGUUUAUAUGAAAUUACCACCUGAUUUUUUGAAACCUGGAGACACUUGGGUAUGCAAGUUACUUAAGUCUCUAUAUGGCUUAAAACAAGAUUCUCGUAAGUGGUUCUCUAAGUUCUCUUCCACUUUGAUUACUUAUGGUUUUAAUCAGUCUAAAUUUGAUUAUUCUUUGUUUACAAAGUGUUCUGGUAGUUCUUUUAUGACACUAUUGGUGUAUGUUGAUGAUAUUGUCAUUGUCUCUAAUAAUCCCACAUUUGUUGCUGAUCUUAAGGAAUUUCUGCAUUUACAUUUCAAGCUGAAAGACCUUGGCAAUUUGAGGAAUUUUUUGGCUCUUGAGGUGACAAGAUCUACUAAAGUUUUUGGACCAUCCACGCCAAUCUCGUCAUGAUGUUGCUCUCAGAGUUGUAAGAUAUGUUAAGGCUACUGCUGGUCAAGUUCAUCUUCUCUGCAGCUAAAAGGUUUUUGUGACUCAAAUUGGGCCACAUGUCCUGAUUCCAAAAGAUUCGUCACUGGUUUUUGCAUCUUCCUUGGUGAUUCACUGAUUUCAUGGAAGUCCAAGAAACAAGUGAGUGUUUCUAGAUCUUCCGUUGAAGCUGAAUAUCGUUCAAUGGCUUCUGCUUGUGAAAUAAAAUGGCUCACUGCAUUACUUGCUGAUUUAAGAAUUAUUUUUUCCUCUCCAUUUGUUUUGUAUUGUGAUAGUCAAGCAACAUUACAUAUUGCUGCUAAUCCUGUUUUUUAUGAAAGAACAAAACAUAUUGAGAUAGAUUGUCAUUUAGUUAGGGACUUGAUUCAAAAUGGCAUUGUAAUUACUUUA